UACGUAGGGUGCGAGCGUUAAUCGGAAUUACUGGGCGUAAAGGGCUCGUAGGCGGCCAACUAAGUCGGACGUGAAAUCCCUCGGCUUAACCGGGGAACUGCAUCCGAUACUGGAAGGCUCGAGUUUGGCAGAGGGGGGUGGAAUUCCGACGUGAUAGCAGUGAAAUGACGUAGAUAUGUGGAGGAACGACCGAUGGCGAAGGCAGCCCCCUGGGUUA
Molecule: ribosomal RNA, 217 nt
Filed under: uncultured bacterium
Lineage: Bacteria
Description: partial 16S ribosomal RNA
Rfam family: Bacterial small subunit ribosomal RNA
Source: RNAcentral